Molecule: ribosomal RNA, 460 nt
Filed under: uncultured bacterium
Lineage: Bacteria
Description: partial 16S ribosomal RNA
Rfam family: Bacterial small subunit ribosomal RNA
Source: RNAcentral
CCUACGGGUGGCAGCAGUGAGGAAUAUUGGUCAAUGGACGAGAGUCUGAACCAGCCAAGUAGCGUGAAGGAUGACUGCCCUAUGUGUUGUAAACUUCUUUUAUAUGGGAAUAAAAUGUUCCACGUGUGGGCUUUUGUAUGUACCAUAUGAAUAAGGAUCGGCUAACUCCGUGCCAGCAGCUGCGGUAAUACGGAGGAUCCGAGCGUUAUCCGGAUUUAUUGGGUUUAAAGGGAGCGCAGGUGGAUUGGUAAGUCAGCUGGGAAAGUUUGCGGGUCAACCGUUGAAUUGCCGUUGAAACUGGCAGUCUUGAGUACAGUAGAGGUAGGCGGAAGUCGUGGUGUAGCGGUGAAAUGCUUAGAUAUCACGAAGAACUCCGAUUGCGAAGGCAGCUUACUGGACUGCAACUGACACUGAGGCUCGAAAGCGUGGGUAUCAAACAGGAUUAGAUACCCCAGUAGUC